GCCAAAGUGGUAUAGUGGUUUGAGUGUUGGACUAUGACUUUGGAAACCAGGGUUCGAUUCCCAGCAUGGACA
Non-coding RNA from Phrynosoma platyrhinos (Desert horned lizard), 72 nucleotides. Lineage: Eukaryota; Metazoa; Chordata; Lepidosauria; Squamata; Phrynosomatidae. The record is from the annotation of a GenBank genome assembly.